This 437-nucleotide ribosomal RNA is filed under the name uncultured bacterium. Its description in RNAcentral is "partial 16S ribosomal RNA". It matches the Rfam family "Bacterial small subunit ribosomal RNA", at positions 29 to 507 of the family's 1533-position model. The record is from RNAcentral.
AGCGAACGCUGGCGGCAGGCUUAACACAUGCAAGUCGAGCGGGCAUCCUUGUGGUGUCAGCGGCAGACGGGUGAGUAACGCGUGGGAACGUGCCCUUCGGUUCGGAAUAACUCAGGGAAACUUGGGCUAAUACCGGAUACGUGCGAGAGCAGAAAGGUUUAUCUGCCGAAGGAUCGGCCCGCGUCUGAUUAGCUAGUUGGUGAGGUUAUGGCUCACCAAGGCGACGAUCAGUAGCUGGUCUGAGAGGAUGCACAGCCACACUGGGACUGAGACACGGCCCCGACUCCUACGGGAGGCAGCAGUGGUGACUAUUGGACAAGGGGGCCAACCCUGAUCCAGCCAUGCCGCGUGAGUGAUGACGGCCUUAGGGUUGUAAAGCUCUUUUCUCCGGGACGAUAAUGACGGUACCGGAGGAAUAAGCCCCGGCUAACUUCGUG